Corvus hawaiiensis (hawaiian crow) is the source of this 1083-nucleotide long non-coding RNA. RefSeq lists it as uncharacterized. The record is from RefSeq and is a predicted model, not a curated record. The transcript has 3 exons. Lineage: Eukaryota; Metazoa; Chordata; Aves; Passeriformes; Corvidae.
CAGGAGCCUUCUGCAACUGACUGGUGCUUUCUGCUUUCUCUGCGCAGAGUGCCAGGAUCUCAUCCGACGGUGUUUAUCCGUGCUCUCCUCGGAAAGGCCCUCAUUAGAAGACCUGUCCUGUGAUCCUUGGAUGCAGGAUAUUCGCGUGCCGUAGGAGAAUGGAGAGAGCCACACGCACGCUUUGAGCCAGGGAGCCGCCCCAGGGAAGAAGAAGCCCCUGGAGAAGCUGUGCCAGGUGCGGCUGCUGCUGCUGGAGACAUGGAGGGUGACAUCAAGGAUGACAAGCUCUUCCUCCACCUGGCAAGCUGAAGAUGAUGGACUUCAAUUGUGGCACCUUCUCCAAAGCCAGGCUCCACGGCGAAUUUGCAGAUGAGUCCACACGCAGGGGGCUGCUCCCAGAUUUGUGCAUUGCACAGCCUGGCCGGGAAGCAAAGGUUCCCCCCUUUGCUGGGGCGGAUGCAACCAAUUCUUCAGUCGGCUGCCAAGCUGCUUUUUGGCAGGGCUGGGGGGAUAGGCUGGGCUGGUUUUGAACUGGGAGUCUGCUCCUGGCCCUGCCAACAGCCCCCAGCACCCACCGUGCCCCACGUUGGGGCUGGGGCAGCCGGCCCGACACAAAGCAAGCCCCAUGGUGGGAGCAGAGGUUGGACAGCAGAAGCUGUGCAUGGGCUGCUUUGCUCUGCAGGCAAGGAAGGGCUUGGGCUACUCCACUGCCCUUGUUGGCUUUGGGCUCAGCAUGACUUUUGGGGGCAGUGCAGGGGGAAGGCAGAAAGCGUGGGCUGCCCUGGCCCGUGGGUGGGUUUUUCCCUCGCAUGGCGGGCUUGGGCCUUCCUCAAGGCCCCAGCAGAGAGAAGAUUUUUUACCUUUUUCCUUGUUUCCCCUUUUUGUCUGUAAUCUCUUUUCAUUGAUUUAUGGUUUGUUUUUCCAAAGGAAGCGUUCUAGGUGCUGUCGGGUCCGGAUGGCGAAGUGCUCGGGAGCAGCUGCGGCGUGGGUGGGACGUGCCCUUGGAGAAGGCUGAGGACAGCGUUUGGGAGCAGCUUUUCUUCUGGCGGCGGGAGGCGUGAGCCGGGCUCUGUGGAUGCUGAG